This 490-nucleotide ribosomal RNA is filed under the name uncultured bacterium. RNAcentral describes it as "partial 16S ribosomal RNA". It matches the Rfam family "Bacterial small subunit ribosomal RNA", at positions 28 to 507 of the family's 1533-position model. The record is from RNAcentral.
GAUGAACGCUAGCUACAGGCUUAACACAUGCAAGUCGCGGGGCAGCAUGGGGGUUGCUUGCCAUCCCCGAUGGCGACCGGCGCACGGGUGAGUAACGCGUAUCCAACCUGCCCUUCACCACGGGAUAACCCGGCGAAAGUCGGACUAAUACCGUAUGUUGUCCAUUGACGGCAUCCGAUUUGUACGAAAGGUUUGGCGGUGAAGGAUGGGGAUGCGUCCGAUUAGCUGGACGGCGGGGUGACGGCCCACCGGGGCGACGAUCGGUGGGGGUUCUGAGAGGGAGGUCCACCGCACUUGAACUGAGGCACAGGCCAGUCUCCUACGGGAGGCAGCAGAAAGGAAGACUAGGGAAGGGGCGUAAGCCUAAACCAACCAAGUGGCUGGCAAGAGGACGGGCCUAGUGGUUGUAAACUGCUGUUAAGCGAGGAUAAAGUGGCCCUCGUGUGGGUUUUUGCAGGUACCGAAUGAAUAAGGACCGGCUAAUUCCGUG